This 490-nucleotide ribosomal RNA is filed under the name Nocardiopsis sp. RNAcentral's name for it is "bacterial SSU rRNA". It matches the Rfam family "Bacterial small subunit ribosomal RNA", at positions 105 to 595 of the family's 1533-position model. Lineage: Bacteria; Bacillati; Actinomycetota; Actinomycetes; Streptosporangiales; Nocardiopsidaceae. The record is from RNAcentral.
GGUGAGUAACACGUGAGCAACCUGCCCCUGACUCUGGGAUAAGCGGUGGAAACGCCGUCUAAUACCGGAUACGACCUUCCGCCUCAUGGUGGAGGGUGGAAAGUUUUUUCGGUCAGGGAUGGGCUCGCGGCCUAUCAGCUUGUUGGUGGGGUAACGGCCUACCAAGGCGAUUACGGGUAGCCGGCCUGAGAGGGCGACCGGCCACACUGGGACUGAGACACGGCCCAGACUCCUGCGGGAGGCAGCAGUGGGGAAUAUUGCGCAAUGGGCGAAAGCCUGACGCAGCGACGCCGCGUGGGGGAUGACGGCCUUCGGGUUGUAAACCUCUUUUACCACCAACGCAGGCUCCGGGUUCUCUCGGGGUUGACGGUAGGUGGGGAAUAAGGACCGGCUAACUACGUGCCAGCAGCCGCGGUAAUACGUAGGGUCCGAGCGUUGUCCGGAAUUAUUGGGCGUAAAGAGCUCGUAGGCGGCGUGUCGCGUCUGCUGU